UGGGGUGUAACUCAGUGGUAGAGCACUUGCCUAGCAUGCACAAGGCCCUGGGUUCAUCCCCAGCACCACAA
This 71-nucleotide transfer RNA is filed under the name Ictidomys tridecemlineatus (thirteen-lined ground squirrel). RNAcentral's name for it is "Spermophilus tridecemlineatus (thirteen-lined ground squirrel) tRNA". It matches the Rfam family "tRNA". Rfam says of the family: Transfer RNA (tRNA) molecules are approximately 80 nucleotides in length. Their secondary structure includes four short double-helical elements and three loops (D, anti-codon, and T loops). Further hydrogen bonds mediate the characteristic L-shaped molecular structure. tRNAs have two regions of fundamental functional importance: the anti-codon, which is responsible for specific mRNA codon recognition, and the 3' end, to which the tRNAs corresponding amino acid is attached (by aminoacyl-tRNA synthetases). tRNAs cope with the degeneracy of the genetic code in two manners: having more than one tRNA (with a specific anti-codon) for a particular amino acid; and 'wobble' base-pairing, i.e. permitting non-standard base-pairing at the 3rd anti-codon position. The record is from Rfam by way of RNAcentral. Lineage: Eukaryota; Metazoa; Chordata; Mammalia; Rodentia; Sciuridae.